AUAAUGGAACUUCCGAAUCGACUAUCGGCUCCAUUAGACUUGAUCUAGCACAUUUGAAGUAUGUAGAAAAUAAAUUUUGCGCAUUUUCAAUAUCAUUUUUCUAGUGAUCGAAAGAAUUCAAAAUAAAUAAUUUUUUAUGGUUGAUGUGUGCUGUUUGCGGGUUUAACGGUGUAGAAGUUUUCUAAUAAGAAAAUAUUUUUAUACUAUUUACAGUAAGAUCAAUAUCUCUGAUCGAAAAUUUUAAUUCUACAUCAUAACUUUUUGUGAGAUUUUUAUAUUCAACUGUUGAUUUUGGGUCCUUUCGGCUAUUGGAUGAAGAA
RNAcentral lists this long non-coding RNA (320 nucleotides) under Ananas comosus (pineapple). Its description in RNAcentral is "long non-coding RNA (ACOM_LNC026569)". The record is from RNAcentral. Lineage: Eukaryota; Viridiplantae; Streptophyta; Magnoliopsida; Poales; Bromeliaceae.